Molecule: ribosomal RNA, 478 nt
Filed under: uncultured Actinomycetes bacterium
Lineage: Bacteria; Bacillati; Actinomycetota; Actinomycetes
Description: bacterial SSU rRNA
Rfam family: Bacterial small subunit ribosomal RNA
Source: RNAcentral
UUACCUAGGCUUGACAUGCAUUGAAAUCUGUUAGAGAUAACAGGUCCGCAAGGGCUUUGCACAGGUGGUGCAUGGCUGUCGUCAGCCUCGUGUCGUGAGAUGUUGGGUUAAGUCCCGCAACGAGCGCAACCCUCGUCUUGUGUUGCCAACAGGUAAAGCUGGGAACUCACAAGAGACUGCCGGGGUCAACUCGGAGGAAGGUGGGGACGACGUCAAGUCAUCAUGCCCCUUAUGUCUACGGGCUGCACGCAUGCUACAAUGGCCGAUACAAAGGGCUGCGAUACCGCAAGGUGGAGCGAAUCCCAUAAAGUCGGUCUCAGUUCGGAUUGAGGUCUGCAACUCGACCUCAUGAAGUUGGAGUUGCUAGUAAUCGCGGAUCAGCAACGCCAGCGGUGAAUACGUUCCCGGGCCUUGUACACACCGCCCGUCACGUCACGAAAGUCGGUAACACCCAAAACCAGGUGUCCAACCGUAAGGG